UGUAAGUCGCUCUGGAUAAGUCGCUCUGGAUAAGAGUGUCUGCUAAAUGACGUAAA
Non-coding RNA from Salmo salar (Atlantic salmon), 56 nucleotides. NCBI's taxonomy places the organism in Eukaryota, Metazoa, Chordata, Actinopteri, Salmoniformes, Salmonidae. The record is from Rfam.